Molecule: long non-coding RNA, 1582 nt
Organism: Helianthus annuus (common sunflower)
Lineage: Eukaryota; Viridiplantae; Streptophyta; Magnoliopsida; Asterales; Asteraceae
Exons: 5
Source: RefSeq, a predicted model, not a curated record
UCCACAUUUUUCUGCCCAUGAUCUCGGUGGUUAUCUCCCCAUUAUCUCCCAUCAAGCACCCACUCUCCCUCUCUCUGUAAGUUUCACCUACAAUAAUGGAGAAAUGGGCAGUUUCACACCCUCUCUCCUAUUCAAAAGCAGUUAGAGACGGUUCGUUUUUCUCUUAAAUAACCCAUCUAAUUCCCCAUUUUCAAAUUUCACAGACCCCUCAUCCUAUUUCCUCCCUCACGUCACUGUUCCACCCUCUCUGAUGACCGCCUCCCCCCCCCCCCAUUUCCCUACCCUCGUCUGCUAUUUUGGAUUGUCGUGUGAUGAAGGGUUUAAUGUUGGGAGAUUGAAGAGUUUGAUAGGGUCAGAUGCUCCUAAUUACACUGCUGAGUUAGAGGAGGAGUAUAUAUCAUUAAGAUGAAUGGAUGUUCUAGAAGGCAAUGUGCAAAUUAGAAGAACUCAAGUUGGUUGUUUAUGAAGAAAACAAACUUUCAGUUCUUCAAGUUCAAUUUCUCCAACCAUGGGCUACUAAAAAUACAAGUAUGAAUUUUGACCCUGCCAUAUUUUAUCGCUAUGUAUAACUGGCAUACGAGCAUAAUAUUCAAAAACUGCCAUCUUCUUCUCUGGCUUGAACAUUGCCAUAAGAAUGGCGUGUUUCAAAGAAAUAUCAUGGGGAUUUUAAUUGAUGAUGAUGGGCUUGAACAUUUGGAAGUGGUAGUACUAUUUUUAAAGGAGAGGGCUUCAUUGCUGAAAUAAUAUCAUAUGAGAACUCUGCCCACGAGGUGUUAUUUCUUUCGAUUUUUAUUUGCAGUAGAGGUUUGGUAUUCACAGUAGAGUUUUGAAACAUUGGAGAUCAGUUGCUUGCGUAGCCAUUUUCAUUCCCAUUUUCAUAGCUAUAUGAGUUUUAUUCACUUGUAGGCACUUAUUACUAAUCUGAUUAUAGUAUCAAGAAUCUAUUUUGUGAGGACGAUGUUUGGGCUUGCCAGAAAGAGGAACCAUGAUGAGGAUGCUAAGGAAGAACUUUACUCGCUUGUGAUUGCUACAUAGAUCCCAGCAAAAGGACUCAAGGGGCUUGGCACGAAGAUCACUGAUGAUGAAGAUUAAUUCAUCAAAAUCCAACCUUUUUGAACCAUAUGAUCAAGUGUGCCAAGUUGUGAAGAAAGAGAUUGGUGAGUCCCCUAAAGAGAUGAGCUGAAGAAGCAGGGCUCAUGUUCCUUUCAAGUGACCAACAAGAUUGAUUAAAUAUAUAGCAUUCAAGGUACUUGCAGACUACAUCUCACAUUCUUAGUGAUAAAGAUUCGUAUGUGGAAUUCUUUGGGAACAUUUGAGAGAGUACCUGAUGUUAUUUAGUUAUUGUAUGUGGAGUAAUUUUUUUAAAGACUUUUGGGCUAUUUUCAGUCUUAUAUGACCCAUCUUCCUUUUGGUAUGUCUACUUUUGUCCUAGAAAUCUCAAAUUCCAACAAAACAAUGAAAAGUUGAAAAUAUUUGGUUUGAAAGUUAGGUGCAUUUUGUCUUGAUAUGUGCUCUGCUGAAUCUCCUUUAAAGAUUAAUACUUGGUCUAAUGAAGUAGAAUACAAUAUACCAAUUUUCUUAU